Molecule: long non-coding RNA, 664 nt
Filed under: Gallus gallus (chicken)
Lineage: Eukaryota; Metazoa; Chordata; Aves; Galliformes; Phasianidae
Description: long non-coding RNA NONGGAT003774
Source: RNAcentral
GCCAAGGUCAGUGAGGACAUGGUGAGCCCUCAGUGUUACAGAGCUGUUUUCUCAGGCCUGCAGAUACUGUUCCUGCUUUAGGUAAACCAAAUUGUUUUAAAUUCCAGUUUCAGUAGAUGUGAUAAUGGCCACCUAUGAGGAGAAAGCUACAGUUGUGUAUGGAUCAACGUCCAGGAAGGUUCUUUGUUUAUGUUAUGGGAGCUGCAGUUCGUUUAGUAGCCCUUCCAAUAGAGAAGAACCUGCAAAGUGCUUUCCAGGCGUGGAGUUACUCCUGUGGUGACAGGGGAGUGGUCAGAGAAAGCAGGCAACGCUGACUCGUGCAGGUAAAGCAGGCAAGUUGUGUGGCACUGAGUUGGAUGCCUGGGAGAGAUGCAGUGGCAGAGCGCCCAUCGUUGGAAGCACAGUUUGGCAGUUUCCUGUGUUGCCCAAGGAACUGGGACUGCCCGGGCAGAGAGCUCAAGGUGAGAAGUGUGAGCUGGCUGUGGGUGGAGGCCAGCGCAGGGCAGGAAGGGGGUGAGCUCGAGGAGGAGCAAAGCUCGGUGUUUGCUCAGUCGUGCCUUUGUUCCAAGCAGGGAUGGGAUCUGAGGUUCCUCAGUCUCACUGUUCUUCUGCAGUCACCAGUAGCUGAGAAAUUUUCUGGUGAGCUGUGCCUUUUGUUCCCAUC